GGAGAUGUAGCUCAGUGGUAGAGUGCUUGCCUAGCAUGCGUAAGGCCCUAGGUUCGAUCCCUAGUACUGUCA
RNAcentral lists this transfer RNA (72 nucleotides) under Mus musculus (house mouse). It matches the Rfam family "tRNA". From Rfam's summary of the family: Transfer RNA (tRNA) molecules are approximately 80 nucleotides in length. Their secondary structure includes four short double-helical elements and three loops (D, anti-codon, and T loops). Further hydrogen bonds mediate the characteristic L-shaped molecular structure. tRNAs have two regions of fundamental functional importance: the anti-codon, which is responsible for specific mRNA codon recognition, and the 3' end, to which the tRNAs corresponding amino acid is attached (by aminoacyl-tRNA synthetases). tRNAs cope with the degeneracy of the genetic code in two manners: having more than one tRNA (with a specific anti-codon) for a particular amino acid; and 'wobble' base-pairing, i.e. permitting non-standard base-pairing at the 3rd anti-codon position. Lineage: Eukaryota; Metazoa; Chordata; Mammalia; Rodentia; Muridae. The record is from Rfam by way of RNAcentral.